This 460-nucleotide ribosomal RNA is filed under the name uncultured bacterium. RNAcentral describes it as "partial 16S ribosomal RNA". It matches the Rfam family "Bacterial small subunit ribosomal RNA", at positions 338 to 795 of the family's 1533-position model. The record is from RNAcentral.
CCUACGGGAGGCAGCAGUGAGGAAUAUUGGUCAAUGGACGAGAGUCUGAACCAGCCAAGUAGCGUGAAGGAUGACUGCCCUAUGGGUUGUAAACUUCUUUUAUAUGGGAAUAAAACGUUCCACGUGUGGGAUUUUGUAUGUACCAUAUGAAUAAGGAUCGGCUAACUCCGUGCCAGCAGCCGCGGUAAUACGGAGGAUCCGAGCGUUAUCCGGAUUUAUUGGGUUUAAAGGGAGCGUAGGUGGAUUGGUAAGUCAGUUGUGAAAGUUUGCGGCUCAACCGUAAAAUUGCAGUUGAAACUGGCAGUCUUGAGUACAGUAGAGGUGGGCGGAAUUCGUGGUGUAGCGGUGAAAUGCUUAGAUAUCACGAAGAACUCCGAUUGCGAAGGCAGUUCACUGGACUGCAACUGACACUGAGGCUCGAAAGUGUGGGUAUCAAACAGGAUUAGAUACCCCUGUAGUC